CGCUCCUUGCACACACCGCCCCGUCGCUUCAUCGAAGUUGGGGUUUGCGCGAGGUGACGUCUAAUUGGCGUUAUCGAACGCGAGUUUAGCAACGAGGGAG
This 100-nucleotide ribosomal RNA is filed under the name uncultured bacterium. Its description in RNAcentral is "partial 16S ribosomal RNA". The record is from RNAcentral.